GGAAUAUUGCGCAAUGGGGGAAACCCUGACGCAGCGACGCCGUGUGAGUGAUGAAGGCCUUCGGGUUGUAAAGCUCUGUCGGAAGGGAAGAAUGUCUUAGGUGCUAAUAUCAACUAGGAUCGACGGCACCUUCAAAGGAAGCACCGGCUAACUCCGUGCCAGCAGCCGCGGUAAGACGGAGGGUGCAAGCGUUGGUCGGAAUUACUGGGCGGAAAGCGCGUGUAGGCGGUUUUGCAAGUCAGAUGUGAAAGCCCAUGGCUCAACCAUGGAAGUGCAUUUGAAACUGCUUAACUUGAGUCUGGGAGAGGGAAGCGGAAUUCCUGGUGUAGAGGUGAAAUUCGUAGAUAUCAGGAGGAACACCGGUGGCGAAGGCGGCUUCCUGGACCGGUACUGACGCUGAGACGCGAAAGCGUGGGGAGCAAAC
Molecule: ribosomal RNA, 424 nt
Filed under: uncultured bacterium
Lineage: Bacteria
Description: bacterial SSU rRNA
Rfam family: Bacterial small subunit ribosomal RNA
Source: RNAcentral